RNAcentral lists this ribosomal RNA (946 nucleotides) under Burkholderia stagnalis. Its description in RNAcentral is "partial 23S ribosomal RNA". It matches the Rfam family "Bacterial large subunit ribosomal RNA", at positions 356 to 1306 of the family's 2925-position model. The record is from RNAcentral. Lineage: Bacteria; Pseudomonadati; Pseudomonadota; Betaproteobacteria; Burkholderiales; Burkholderiaceae.
CAUAGUGGGUGAUAGUCCUGUACACGAAAGGGCUUAGAUAAUGAUGUCGAGUAGGGCGAGGCACGUGAAACCUUGUCUGAAUAUGGGGGGACCAUCCUCCAAGGCUAAAUACUCCUGACUGACCGAUAGUGAACCAGUACCGUGAGGGAAAGGCGAAAAGAACCCCUGUGAGGGGAGUGAAAUAGAUCCUGAAACCGCAUGCAUACAAGCAGUGGGAGCCGGCAUUGCGUCCGGUGACUGCGUACCUUUUGUAUAAUGGGUCAGCGACUUAUAUUCAGUAGCAAGGUUAACCGAAUAGGGGAGCCGUAGAGAAAUCGAGUCUUAAUAGGGCGAAUUAGUUGCUGGGUAUAGACCCGAAACCAGGUGAUCUAUCCAUGAGCAGGUUGAAGGUUGGGUAACACUAACUGGAGGACCGAACCCACUGUCGUUGAAAAGCCAGGGGAUGACUUGUGGAUAGGGGUGAAAGGCUAAUCAAACUUGGUGAUAGCUGGUUCUCCCCGAAAGCUAUUUAGGUAGCGCCUCGGACGAAUACCAUUGGGGGUAGAGCACUGUUUCGGCUAGGGGGUCAUCCCGACUUACCAAACCGAUGCAAACUCCGAAUACCAAUGAGUACUAUCCGGGAGACAGACUGCGGGUGCUAACGUCCGUAGUCAAGAGGAAAACAAUCCAGACCGCCAGCUAAGGCCCCAAAAUUAUAGUUAAGUGGGAAACGAUGUGGGAAGGCAUAGACAGCUAGGAGGUUGGCUUAGAAGCAGCCACCCUUUAAAGAAAGCGUAAUAGCUCACUAGUCGAGUCGGCCUGCGCGGAAGAUGUAACGGGGCUAAAACUAUAUGCCGAAGCUGCGGAUUUACGCAUUAGCGUAAGUGGUAGGGGAGCGUUCUGUAAGCCGAUGAAGGUGUGUUGAGAAGCAUGCUGGAGGUAUCAGAAGUGCGAAUGCUGACGUGAG